RNAcentral lists this long non-coding RNA (309 nucleotides) under Nicotiana tabacum (common tobacco). RNAcentral describes it as "long non-coding RNA (NTAB_LNC001260)". The record is from RNAcentral. Lineage: Eukaryota; Viridiplantae; Streptophyta; Magnoliopsida; Solanales; Solanaceae.
UGGUGAUACGACGGAGAGUAAGACAGAUUUUCAGAUAUAUUAACUGAUGGAGUCUGCUGGAAAUUAUGAGAAGAAUAGUCAUUAUGAGAAGGAUACUCAUCACUAAAAUAUGAAGGAGGUGAUGGAGGGAUAUGUGGAGGAGUUGGUGUGGUGGCUGCCGGAGGUGACGGAGGGACACGUGAAGGAGGAGGUGGUGGGGUGGCUGCUGGAGGAGACGGUCUAUUUGCAGAAUAAUGUGCAUCGUCAUGUACGUGACUAAAUGAAUCGGAUUCUGGUCCAGGUUUGAUGACUGAAUCGGAUUCUGGUGCG